AAAUUGAAGAGUUUGAUCAUGGCUCAGAUUGAACGCUGGCGGCAGGCCUAACACAUGCAAGUCGAACGGUAACAGGAAGCAGCUUGCUGCUUYGCUGACGAGUGGCGGACGGGUGAGUAAUGUCUGGGAAACUGCCUGAUGGAGGGGGAUAACUACUGGAAACGGUAGCUAAUACCGCAUAACGUCGCAAGACCAAAGAGGGGGACCUUCGGGCCUCUUGCCAUCGGAUGUGCCCAGAUGGGAUUAGCUAGUAGGUGGGGUAACGGCUCACCUAGGCGACGAUCCCUAGCUGGUCUGAGAGGAUGACCAGCCACACUGGAACUGAGACACGGUCCAGACUCCUACGGGAGGCAGCAGUGGGGAAUAUUGCACAAUGGGCGCAAGCCUGAUGCAGCCAUGCCGCGUGUAUGAAGAAGGCCUUCGGGUUGUAAAGUACUUUCAGCGGGGAGGAAGGUGUUGAGGUUAAUAACCUCAGCAAUUGACGUUACCCGCAGAAGAAGCACCGGCUAACUCCGUGCCAGCAGCCGCGGUAAUACGGAGGGUGCAAGCGUUAAUCGGAAUUACUGGGCGUAAAGCGCACGCAGGCGGUCUGUCAAGUCGGAUGUGAAAUCCCCGGGCUCAACCUGGGAACUGCAUUCGAAACUGGCAGGCUAGAGUCUUGUAGAGGGGGGUAGAAUUCCAGGUGUAGCGGUGAAAUGCGUAGAGAUCUGGAGGAAUACCGGUGGCGAAGGCGGCCCCCUGGACAAAGACUGACGCUCAGGUGCGAAAGCG
Molecule: ribosomal RNA, 771 nt
Filed under: Enterobacter hormaechei
Lineage: Bacteria; Pseudomonadati; Pseudomonadota; Gammaproteobacteria; Enterobacterales; Enterobacteriaceae
Description: bacterial SSU rRNA
Source: RNAcentral